GAUGAACGCUGGCGGCGUGCUUAACACAUGCAAGUCGAGCGAAGCGGCUGAAUUGAUUCUUCGGAUGAUUUUCAGUUGACUGAGCGGCGGACGGGUGAGUAACGCGUGGGUGACCUGCCCCAUGCCGGGGGAUAACAGCUGGAAACGGCCGCUAAUACCGCAUAAGCGCACAGAGCUGCAUGGCUCAGUGUGAAAAACUCCGGUGGUAUGGGAUGGGCCCGCGUCUGAUUAGGCAGUUGGCGGGGUAACGGCCCACCAAACCGACGAUCAGCAGCCGGCCUGAGAGGGCGACCGGCCACAUUGGGACUGAGACACGGCCCAAACUCCUACGGGAGGCAGCAGUGGGGAAUAUUGCACAAUGGGGGAAACCCUGAUGCAGCGACGCCGCGUGAGCGAAGAGGUAUUUCGGUAUGUAAAGCUCUAUCAGCAGGGAAGAUAAUGACGGUAC
RNAcentral lists this ribosomal RNA (448 nucleotides) under uncultured bacterium. RNAcentral describes it as "bacterial SSU rRNA". It matches the Rfam family "Bacterial small subunit ribosomal RNA", at positions 28 to 478 of the family's 1533-position model. The record is from RNAcentral.